ACAGAAGAGGUUCUUAGGGUUAACCCUCUAUAAAAAACUAAGGACAG
This 47-nucleotide non-coding RNA is filed under the name Virgibacillus phasianinus. RNAcentral's name for it is "Virgibacillus sp. LM2416 PreQ1 (pre queuosine) riboswitch aptamer". It matches the Rfam family "PreQ1 (pre queuosine) riboswitch aptamer". From Rfam's summary of the family: This family is a bacterial riboswitch that binds to the metabolite preQ1, an intermediate in the biosynthesis of the modified nucleoside queuosine from GTP. One example of this riboswitch is located in the leader of the Bacillus subtilis ykvJKLM (queCDEF) operon which encodes four genes necessary for queuosine production. Lineage: Bacteria; Bacillati; Bacillota; Bacilli; Caryophanales; Bacillaceae. The record is from Rfam by way of RNAcentral.